This is a long non-coding RNA of Quercus robur (English oak), 1500 nucleotides long. RefSeq lists it as uncharacterized. The record is from RefSeq and is a predicted model, not a curated record. Lineage: Eukaryota; Viridiplantae; Streptophyta; Magnoliopsida; Fagales; Fagaceae. The transcript has 3 exons.
GACUUCGUUUCCCCAUCCACCCUUUCAUUAGAGAGCUUUUCUUCUUUUUACAACUUGCUCCAGCUUAGCUAGUACCUAACUCAUGAAGGAUAGUAGUCUACCGUAUGGUAAUAUGGAUGUCUGCCAAUGAUGGGAACAUUAGUACGAUAGAAGAGUUCCUGCACUACUAUCGUCUAAGACGAUCCAAAGAUCCGGGCUACUGGGAAUUUAAACCAUGGGGAAGAAGUUCAAGGUUGGUUUUUAACUCCCCCUCGUCUCUCCAAAAUUGGAAAACAAACUUUUUCUUCGUCUCUGGUGAUGGUGGGGAGUUCACUUCGGGUGAGGAUCUAGAUGACGCUCCUAAAUUGUUCCAUAUUUGGAGUACUCUUGUGUCUGGUGUAUCUUUCUGUUUAAUCUCUUUGUUAUGUAUAUAAUUUUCCUAAGUGGAUGUGGCACUAAUAAAUGUGCAUGUGCUGUUGUUUUCACAACCUUCAUUCGCCUUCGUCUAAAAAGGAGGUGCCAUACUCGUGUUCAGAGGGUUAGAGAUUAUCUUAAGUCUGUUAAGGACUUUGACGAGCUCAUUACUGUAAUUUCUCAAACCGAAGCCCUCCAACCAUGUUCAAGAAUGUUGAGAUCGUCAAGAAAAAUUUAGUAAAGCUAAACUGGCUGAAACCUAAUAGAAGAAGGCCAAAGGAGGUCUGACAAGCGGUCUUCUAACGAGGAAACGCCAAAAGGACACGGAGACACCCAAGGACGAUCCUAUGGCGACUUCUCCUAUUGCCAAGUCUGUAUCCCAGCAUCCAAAAUCGCCUACCUCUUCCCAAGAAUUAAUUGCUUCCAUUGAUGGAGGUUUCAAAGCCAAGGGCAAGGACAAGGACAAGGCUCCUCUAGGAUCUUUUUAGGAUGAUGCGAGAGUCACAGUGCUGAAAGCUCAUAAGGUGAUAUCAGUUGACUACCUUUCUCCUCUGGGGUGUUGGGUGAACCCUUGUACAUUUCCGGGAAGUACUUGGAUUAUGAAGAGAAGUACGUGAUUGCCAAGUCCAAGGUGGAAUCCCUUUUUGCUAAGAAUGAGUCAUUUAGGAGCUAGAUCUCUCUUUACUAAGGAGCCUAAGAAGGACAAGGAACUCUUGAAAACUCUAGAGAAGAGCAUGACACUAAGAAGGCAUUUUCAAAAUUGAAGUACAAUCAGAUUGACAAGGCCUUCCUGAAGGUCGAGAAAGCUAGCUUGAAGGCAGGGGAGAAGUUCAAGGCCUCAGAUGAGUACUCGGACAAGCUCUGCGAUUAUUACGUGGAGGGUUUUGACCUUUUUCGUAAAUACUUGGCCAAGCACCACCCAGUGUUGGACUUCUCCAAGCUUGAUAUGGAAGAAGUGGAGAAAAAUAUCUUGGUAGAUUGUUCUACCGAGGCCAUAGUGGAGAACGAGGUCGUGCCAGGUGUAGUUGAGAAUGUCCUAACUGAUCCGUCCCCUUCUAGUCUUCCUUGAAAACUUUUUGUUUUUGUUUUUGAUUUUUUUUUUUCUGU